GCAACUUACCUAUCAGAGGGGGAUAACCCGGCGAAAGUCGGACUAAUACCGCAUGAAGCAGGGGCCCCGCAUGGGGAUAUUUGCUAAAGAUUCAUCGCUGAUAGAUAGGCAUGCGUUCCAUUAGGCAGUUGGCGGGGUAACGGCCCACCAAACCGACGAUGGAUAGGGGUUCUGAGAGGAAGGUCCCCCACAUUGGUACUGAGACACGGACCAAACUCCUACGGGAGGCAGCAGUGAGGAAUAUUGGUCAAUGGGCGUAAGCCUGAACCAGCCAAGUCGCGUGAGGGAUGAAGGUUCUAUGGAUCGUAAACCUCUUUUAUAAGGGAAUAAAGUGCGGGACGUGUCCCGUUUUGUAUGUACCUUAUGAAUAAGGAUCGGCUAACUCCGUGCCAGCAGCCGCGGUAAUACGGAGGAUCCGAGCGUUAUCCGGAUUUAUUGGGUUUAAAGGGUGCGUAGGCGGCCUUUUAAGUCAGCGGUGAAAGUCUGUGGCUCAACCAUAGAAUUGCCGUUGAAACUGGGGGGCUUGAGUAUGUUUGAGGCAGGCGGAAUGCGUGGUGUAGCGGUGAAAUGCUUAGAUAUCACGCAGAACCCCGAUUGCGAAGGCAGCCUGCCAAGCCAUGACUGACGCUGAUGCACGAAAGCGUGGGGAUCAAACAGGAUUAGAUACCCUGGUAGUCCACGCAGUAAACGAUGAUCACUAGCUGUUUGCGAUACACUGUAAGCGGCACAGCGAAAGCGUUAAGUGAUCCACCUGGGGAGUACGCCGGCAACGGUGAAACUCAAAGGAAUUGACGGGGGCCCGCACAAGCGGAGGAACAUGUGGUUUAAUUCGAUGAUACGCGAGGAACCUUACCCGGGUUUGAACGCAUUCGGACCGAGGUGGAAACACCUUUUCUAGCAAUAGCCGUUUGCGAGGUGCUGCAUGGUUGUCGUCAGCUCGUGCCGUGAGGUGUCGGCUUAAGUGCCAUAACGAGCGCAACCCUUGCCACUAGUUACUAACAGGUAAAGCUGAGGACUCUGGUGGGACUGCCAGCGUAAGCUGCGAGGAAGGCGGGGAUGACGUCAAAUCAGCACGGCCCUUACAUCCGGGGCGACACACGUGUUACAAUGGCGUGGACAAAGGGAUGCCACCUGGCGACAGGGAGCGAAUCCCCAAACCACGUCUCAGUUCGGAUCGGAGUCUGCAACCCGACUCCGUGAAGCUGGAUUCGCUAGUAAUCGCGCAUCAGCCAUGGCGCGGUGAAUACGUUCCCGGGCCUUGUACACACCGCCCGUCAAGCCAUGGGAGCCGGGGGUACCUGAAGUCCGUAACCGCGAGGAUCGGCCUAGGGUAAAACUGGUGACUGGGGCUAAGUCGUAACAGGUAGCGCGAGGUGCGCUGAACA
RNAcentral lists this ribosomal RNA (1385 nucleotides) under Parabacteroides distasonis. RNAcentral describes it as "bacterial SSU rRNA". It matches the Rfam family "Bacterial small subunit ribosomal RNA". Lineage: Bacteria; Pseudomonadati; Bacteroidota; Bacteroidia; Bacteroidales; Tannerellaceae. The record is from RNAcentral.